ACCGCGCCGCCAUAGUCGGAAGGGGCAGGGCCAGGUGAAAUCUCGCGAGAACGAGAAGGGGCGGGACCUAAAGGGAGGGGCGGGGAUGGGUGUGAUGACGUAUUGCUUGCGUAAUGGGUGUAUCCAUAGUACAUGGAUUUGGGAUGCUGUCGUGACAGGUUGGGAUAGGAGCCUUAUCCUGCGCUUUGUGCGUGUUCUAUGGCUCCUGCUGCGCUCCCCAUUGAAAUGAGGGGUUUUCAGCAGGGUGGGUGAAAAAGUUGGGCUGUUUGGGGCAAAACGUUUCAUUCGGAGCAGAGAAACUCGCGUUAGUGUCGUUUGGAUUAAUUAAUUAAGUAAUUAGUUGCACUGCAGUUGAUUUAUGAUUCAUUAGUUCAAUGAAUUCAUUCGCCGUAGAGGUGGCGGAUGGAACAGAGAAGAGCUGUGCCUCUCAUCCCAUGCAGGGCUUAAGGAUCCGAUGUUAUCCCAGUGCUGGCAGCCUCAGGGGUUCCAGAGCAGCCCAGCAUGGAUGUGGGGCACUGCACACUGACAACAGCCAUUUGUGCCCUUUGGUAACGACUCAUAAGGUACCAGCACAGAGGAGCGUAGGCAAUGUUGAUGACACCAAUGAUGACCAUCAGCCAGGGGAAGCCGAUAGCACGUGCGAUCGCACCGCCUGUGGAUGGGCCUGCAAGUUUAUAACCAAAAAGGACUUAGGAUGACAGAGAGCAGAAGCUGCCUCUGCAAACCCCAUCUGCCUGCCAUGAUUUCAGCCCAGCACGAUACCAUUAUCUGCCCUGCAGAAGACAGGAUUCGACCAGCUUCCCAUGCAUGGAGCAGCCUUUCUUCCACGGUUACUGCUCUUGGGGGGAGUCUGAUCCCAUAGCAUUUUCCCAGUAAUAGAGAAAAGCACAUUGUAGAGCUGCCACUAAGGACAUUUCCAGCUGCAAUUGGAGCAACACGCAGCCUGGGAUCACUCAUUCCAUGCAGUUGAGGGCAUAUGGUUUCUUGUAGGAUGAUAGAAGAGAUUAUUCAAUCCACCUCGCAGUGCCAAAGCAGG
This 1036-nucleotide long non-coding RNA is filed under the name Melopsittacus undulatus (budgerigar). RNAcentral's name for it is "lncRNA (ENSMUNG00000021556.1)". The record is from RNAcentral. Lineage: Eukaryota; Metazoa; Chordata; Aves; Psittaciformes; Psittaculidae.